Molecule: ribosomal RNA, 341 nt
Filed under: Meliola thailandicum
Lineage: Eukaryota; Fungi; Ascomycota; Sordariomycetes; Meliolales; Meliolaceae
Description: partial 28S ribosomal RNA
Rfam family: 5.8S ribosomal RNA (bases 1-131)
Source: RNAcentral
UCCGGCAACGAUGAAGAACGCAGCUAAUUGCGAUAAGUAAUGSGAAUCGCAGAGCCUAGUGAGUCAUCGAGUUUUUGAACGCACAUUGCGCCUGUCAGCCCUUUMUGGCAGGCAUGCCUGUCCGAGCGUCGUYGUCCAUCUUUUCAGGCCUUUUUUAAAGGGACCUGGUGUUGGGACGCAUCUUUCAAGCCUGCCUUGGGGAUAGUCCUGAAAAUUAGUGGCGGCUUUAUGGUAGCCUUCAGGAUGUGGUUAUGCUCUUCAUCCAGAAAAGUCGACUCUGAUAUGCCGGCCUGAAAGACUGAAUAUCAAUCAAGKUYGACCUCGAUCAGGAGGWWCCCCWA